RNAcentral lists this long non-coding RNA (1513 nucleotides) under Equus asinus (donkey). Its description in RNAcentral is "lncRNA (ENSEASG00005032685.1)". Lineage: Eukaryota; Metazoa; Chordata; Mammalia; Perissodactyla; Equidae. The record is from RNAcentral.
GUGACAGAAGUCCUGCAUACAGUGGAGCACGUGGGAUCUGAGAGGCGGCGGUGCCAGUUAUUUCUGAGGCAAAAAUGUCUAAAUGCAUGUGAAUUAUAAUUUAUCUUUAAAUUAUUUUCUGUAUAUUUGGGUCUAGUGGAGGGCAUCCUUUAUACUGCUGAUUUAGAAUCUAAGAGAGAAAGAGAGAAGCUAUUAUUCCUUUGUUUGUCCAAGAGCCUUCCUCAAGUGUUUUUUUUUUUCCUUUCCCACUCAUUUUAUAAUUCUCUUGAAUUCCUGGCAUAUGAAAUAGGGGUUUUCCUUUGUUAUUAUCUUGUGCAAACUUGCAGGGCACUCACAAACCUUAAUCAAGUUACCUCAUGGGCCAGUCUAGCUCCUCUCAGAAAGCUCUUGAACCCCAUUUGCCAUUUAAAAAAAAAGUUUAAAGCUGUGUGAGAUGGUAUGACUUCAAUGUUUGAGAAGUCUGCCUUGGCUGAAUAUCUAAUCCCAUAAAUUAGGGGGAAUAAAAACCUCAUUGUAACCAGAACAACACUGGCUCUGAGACGUGUUGGGCAAAACAUGACCGCUUAGGCAGCAAAUGCGUCAGGGAGUGGCAGACCCCGAUGUGCGGGGAGGCAGUGGGAUAAUGGGAGCCUUGGGAGGCCCCGGUGGCCCUCAGGUGGGAAUAAUUCUGGAGAAAGAGCUGGUGCAGCCAGAACGGUGGGAGGGCUGCUAGUGGGGUGGAGAGAAUGAUUUAAGGAUUAGAGUUUGAAGAAGUUUGAAAGUAGAAUUUAACACUCUAACAAGCUCGGGUGAUGGAUAAGGAUAUUUUAUCCAUCCCUCCAUCCCUCCAGAUCGUCUCUUUGGAGAAAGAAUGCCUACCACAGCAUGGAGUGUCAAGCAGUGCCGUGCCUGCACCCGGGAUCUGAACCGGCGAACCCAGGGCUGCUGAGAAGCGGAAGAUUAACCUGGGCUAACAUCUGCUACCAAUCCUACUCUUUUUGCUGAGGAAGGCUGACCCUGAGCUCACAUCCGUGACCAUCUUCCUCUACGUUAUAUGUGGGACGCCUACCACAGCAUGGCUUGACAAGCGGUGCCAUGUCCAUACCCGGGAUCCAAACAGGCGAACUCUGGACUGCCAAAGUGGAAUGUGUGAGCUUAACCGCUGUGCCAUGGGACAGGCUUCUCCUUGUUGGAUCUUCUUAGAUUUUUAUUUUUAUUUUGUAACGUGGUAAACAAAGAGUUGGAAGUAAAGGUAGAAAUGUCUUUGCCAUUUUCUUGUUUCCUUGUUUUAUCAACAUUGUUUUGUCUCAGCCUGUGCUUUCUUAUCACGAAUCUUUUUCUUCCCUGAGGAAGAUUCAUCCUGAGCUAACAUCUGUUGCCAAUUUUCUUCUUUUUGUAUGUAAGCUGCCGCCACAGCAUGGCCACUGACGAGUGAUGUAGGUUUGUGCCAAGGAACCAAACCCGGGCCACUGAAGCAGAGAGUGCUGAACUUAACCACUAGGCCACCAGGGCUGGCCCCAAGAAUCUUUUUAAG